CCUACGGGUGGCAGCAGUGGGGGAUAUUGCACAAUGGGGGAAACCCUGAUGCAGCGACGCCGCGUGGGUGAAGAAGCGCCUCGGCGCGUAAAGCCCUGUCAGCAGGGAAGAAAAUGACGGUACCUGAAGAAGAAGCUCCGGACAACUACGUGCCAGCAGACGCGGUAAAACGUAGGGGGAAAGCGUUAGCCGGAUUUACGGGGUGGAAAGGGGGCGGAGACGGGGAUGAGAGCCAGGAGUGAAAGCCCAGGGCCCAACCCCUGGACUGCGCUUGGAACUGAGUGGCUAGAGUGCAGGAGAGGCAGGCGGAAUUCCUGGUGUAGCGGUGAAAUGCGUAGAUAUUAGGAGGAACACCAGUGGCGAAGGCGGUCUGCUGGACAGCAACUGACGCUGAGGCGCGAAAGCGUGGGGAGCAAACAGGAUUAGAUACCCGAGUAGUC
RNAcentral lists this ribosomal RNA (440 nucleotides) under uncultured bacterium. RNAcentral's name for it is "partial 16S ribosomal RNA". It matches the Rfam family "Bacterial small subunit ribosomal RNA", at positions 338 to 795 of the family's 1533-position model. The record is from RNAcentral.